CAGCGCAUGCAACCCACCUCUCUCGUUCUCUCCGCACACGCAACCUCUUGCACCGCACGCCAACGCAGCCGCCGCCUCUUCUCUUCCAUCGUCGUCGUCGCCUCGUCGGAUCUGGGGAGAAAGAGAGUGCGAGUCUCCUACCUUCGCCGCGUCCGCGUCCGCAUCACUCUUCCGCGCCCUGGCGCCGCCGCGUCCGCCACUUCUCCUCGCCUUGUCGUCCCCGUCCCUCUCUCAUAGCCGAGCUCCAGCCCUCCACCAUCCCCUCCUCCUUGACCGCCUCUCCCCUCGUCUGAAGGAGCACGGGGCUGGCAGCUGCGCCUGAGCCGCCACAAGGCCGUCAGGUAGAGAAGAUUUGGUGCCACUGGCCGUUCCCACCGCUGUCCGAGUCCGACGUCUCGGAGUUGCCAGAGUCGCCGUCGCCAUACGAAGACGAGUCGGCGGGGAGAUGCUGGUGUUGGGAUUCGGGAGGGUCCAAUCUGCAGCAAAUCCUUGGGAGAUAUGACGGUGUAUUUUGGAAUGCUCGACGGCUUGCUGGCUGCAGAAGAGCUUCCUGAGGAAUACCGGAACCGAUGCCAGGAUAUACUCUGUAACGACUGCGGAAAAAAGGGAUUUCUCGGUUCCACUGGCUGUAUCACAAAUGCGCCGCCUGUGGCUCGUACAACACCAGAGUUAUCAAGACCGAGGCACCAGAUUGUUCCAUGUCGAAUUAACAGGUCCGCCGACGAGGAUGUGGAUGAGGACGAGGUCGAGCCCCUUCCCGGCGCGAUCUCCUUUUGGAGGCUAUUCAACUUCGUCGAUGGCCUCGACUGGGCACUCAUGGCCGCUGGCACAGUCGCCGCCGCCGCCCACGAUGCAGCAUUCGUAGUCUACAUGCACUAAUGGUCCUUGAAUUUUCUCGAUGCUGAGCGGAUUUAGUCUGCUCUACACGGUCGUAGCGACGAGCCCCUCAACCAAUUUAAGCAGGAGUUGAGUGAGUGCACAAGGAUUUGGUGAGGGAUCUCAUCAUGCAGAACUCAAAAACCAGCUAGCUUCCACGUGUUUCUUCCUUGCUUCCUUCCUUUUGUGCAUGUGUUUGUUUGCCAAGCACAUCUGUAGUCCUUCCUACACAUGCGUGUGCGUCUCUGAGCCAGUGUCUACCACCUCGGUGGACAGUAGUACCCAAAUGAUGGCAUAUCGUAGUAUGUAUUAAAUAGGUCUAAUGUAUUGGGACCAGUGCAGGUCAAAUAGCCAUUUACUUCUGCAUAGUGAAAUAAUAUUUACAGAUCCUGUGUUGACUAGGCCUUUUCUUUCUUUAUUAUCUUUGUCAAGCCAAUAUGAUAGUUGUAUGAUUUGUAUCUAUUGGUGGUAGCAUAUUAGCAUCACUAUAAAUAACUAAAUAUACUACUUGUUUUC
Triticum aestivum (bread wheat) is the source of this 1392-nucleotide RNA transcript. RefSeq lists it as uncharacterized. The transcript has 5 exons. The record is from RefSeq and is a predicted model, not a curated record. NCBI's taxonomy places the organism in Eukaryota, Viridiplantae, Streptophyta, Magnoliopsida, Poales, Poaceae.